AUUGAACGCUGGCGGCGUGCCUAAUACAUGCAAGUUGAGCGCUGAAGGUUGGUACUUGUACCAACUGGAUGAGCAGCGAACGGGAGAGUAACGCGUGGGGAAUCUGCCUUUGAGCGGGGGACAACAUUUGGAAACGAACGCUAAUACCGCAUAAAAACUUUAAACACAAGUUUGAAGUUUGAAAGAUGCAAUUGCAUCACUCAAAGAUGAUCCCGCGUUGUAUUAGCUAGUUGGUGAGGUAAAGGCUCACCAAGGCGAUGAUACAUAGCCGACCUGAGAGGGUGAUCGGCCACAUUGGGACUGAGACACGGCCCAAACUCCUACGGGGGGCAGCAGUAGGGAAUCUUCGGCAAUGGACGAAAGUCUGACCGAGCAACGCCGCGUGAGUGAAGAAGGUUUUCGGAUCGUAAAACUCUGUUGGUAGAGAAGAACGUUGGUGAGAGUGGAAAGCUCAUCAAGUGACGGUAACUACCCAGAAAGGGACGGCUAACUACGUGCCAGCAGCCGCAGUAA
Molecule: ribosomal RNA, 513 nt
Filed under: uncultured bacterium
Lineage: Bacteria
Description: partial 16S ribosomal RNA
Rfam family: Bacterial small subunit ribosomal RNA
Source: RNAcentral